UCGCACCCACUCAGACAUGUCCCAUCAGGCCACCAUAACCCAUCAUGUGUAGUUUUUCCUAGUCAUCUAAGAGUUACAUGUAGAGUACAGAGUACUUUCUCCUCUAAUACUACUAGUUUUUUUUACUAGGGCCAACUUUCAGAGUACUUAUCCAUCUUAUCCCACUAGUUUAUUUACUUUUAAGAGACCUCAUAGGAGUUGGUCAAGCCCAAACCUAUGAAAAGAUAGCAACAACCAACUCGCACCCACUCAGACAUGUCCCACCAGGC
RNAcentral lists this long non-coding RNA (269 nucleotides) under Setaria viridis. Its description in RNAcentral is "long non-coding RNA (SVIR_LNC003566)". Lineage: Eukaryota; Viridiplantae; Streptophyta; Magnoliopsida; Poales; Poaceae. The record is from RNAcentral.